AGCGGCGGACGGGUGAGUAAUGCUUAGGAAUCUGCCAUUUAGUGGGGGACAACAUUCCGAAAGGAAUGCUAAUACCGCAUACGUCCUACGGGAGAAAGCAGGGGAUCUUCGGACCUUGCGCUAAAUGAUGAGCCUAAGUCGGAUUAGCUAGUUGGUGGGGUAAAGGCCUACCAAGGCGACGAUCUGUAGCGGGUCUGAGAGGAUGAUCCGCCACACUGGGACUGAGACACGGCCCAGACUCCUACGGGAGGCAGCAGUGGGGAAUUUUGGACAAUGGGCGAAAGCCUGAUCCAGCAAUGCCGCGUGCAGGAAGAAGGCCUUCGGGUUGUAAACUGCUUUUGUACGUAACGAAAAGGCCUGCCUUAAUACGGUGGGCCCAUGACGGUACCGUAAGAAUAAGCACCGGCUAACUACGUGCCAGCAGCCGCGGUAAUACGUAGGGUGCGAGCGUUAAUCGGAAUUACUGGGCGUAAAGCGUGCGCAGG
This 485-nucleotide ribosomal RNA is filed under the name uncultured Pseudomonadota bacterium. RNAcentral's name for it is "bacterial SSU rRNA". It matches the Rfam family "Bacterial small subunit ribosomal RNA", at positions 94 to 575 of the family's 1533-position model. The record is from RNAcentral. Lineage: Bacteria; Pseudomonadati; Pseudomonadota.